RNAcentral lists this ribosomal RNA (442 nucleotides) under uncultured bacterium. RNAcentral describes it as "bacterial SSU rRNA". It matches the Rfam family "Bacterial small subunit ribosomal RNA", at positions 91 to 518 of the family's 1533-position model. The record is from RNAcentral.
UAGAGCGGCGGACGGGUGAGUAACACGUGGACAAUCUGCCCCCCGGCCCGGGAUAGCCCAGGGAAACCUGGAUUAAUACCGGAUGAGACGGGACCCGCGAUGGCGGGACCCGGGAAAGGCGCUGCGGCGCCGCCGGGGGAUGAGUCUGCGUCCCAUUAGCUAGACGCGGGGUAACGGCCCACCGUGGCGACGAUGGGUAGCCGGCCUGAGAGGGUGGACGGCCACAUUGGAACUGAGACACGGUCCAGACUCCUACGGGAGGCAGCAGCUAAGAAUCUUCCGCAAUGGGCGAAAGCCUGACGGAGCGAACCGCCGCGUGAACGAAGAAGGCCGUGAGGUUGUAAAGUUCUUUUCGGGAGGGGGAACAACCGUGGCAGGGAAUGGGCCGCGGGAUGACGUGAAUCCCGGAAUAAGCCCCGGCUAACUACGUGCCAGCCGCCGC